UAGGGAAUCUUCGGCAAUGGGGGGAACCCUGACCGAGCAACGCCGCGUGAGUGAAGAAGGUUUUCGGAUCGUAAAGCUCUGUUGUUAAGGAAGAACGAGUGUGAGAAUGGAAAGUUCAUGCUGUGACGGUACUUAACCAGAAAGGGACGGCUAACUACGUGCCAGCAGCCGCGGUAAUACGUAGGUGGCAAGCGUUAUCCGGAAUUAUUGGGCGUAAAGCGCGCGUAGGCGGUUUUUUAAGUCUGAUGUGAAAGCCCACGGCUCAACCGUGGAGGGUCAUUGGAAACUGGAAAACUUGAGUGCAGAAGAGGAAAGUGGAAUUCCAUGUGUAGCGGUGAAAUGCGCAGAGAUAUGGAGGAACACAGUGGCGAAGGCGACUUUCUGGUCUGUAACUGACGCUGAUGUGCGAAAGCGUGGGGAUCAAACAGG
This 429-nucleotide ribosomal RNA is filed under the name Bacteroidota bacterium. RNAcentral's name for it is "Bacteroidetes bacterium partial 16S ribosomal RNA". It matches the Rfam family "Bacterial small subunit ribosomal RNA", at positions 355 to 776 of the family's 1533-position model. The record is from RNAcentral. Lineage: Bacteria; Pseudomonadati; Bacteroidota.